RNAcentral lists this ribosomal RNA (146 nucleotides) under Clostridioides difficile. RNAcentral's name for it is "partial 23S ribosomal RNA". It matches the Rfam family "Bacterial large subunit ribosomal RNA", at positions 2784 to 2925 of the family's 2925-position model. Lineage: Bacteria; Bacillati; Bacillota; Clostridia; Peptostreptococcales; Peptostreptococcaceae. The record is from RNAcentral.
AGCGCGAAGCCAACUUCAAGAUAAGAUUUCCCACCGCAAGGGUAAGACCCCAGAAAGACUAUCUGGUUGAUAGGUCGAAGGUGUAAGUGCAGCAAUGUAUUUAGCUUAUCGAUACUAAUAGGUCGAGGACUUGACCAAUAUUUAUU